GGGUGUGGGAGGAGCUGCAGGAUCUUGGGGGGCUUCCCUAGUCCUAGGGAAGGGACAGAGCUCCCUCCGGGUGCUGAUGAGUCUAGGAGGGCUUGGAAAGGCUCCUGCUGCCUCCCCAAGUGUGUGAGCCUGACUGGUGAGAGCAGGGGUGUGAUUUUUUUUAACAAAUAGUUUGCUUUCCAAAAAAUAUAGGUCUGUGAUGAGUGGCAAUAUUUAUUAAUUUGGAUUUAAUCUGGUGACUAGUGGAACAAAAUACUAAAAGUGUUUUGAAAGGGAUAUUUUUGGCAAAACAAAGGCUUUGUUUUAACUUGGUGAAAAUGAAGCAUUUAAGCCUUCUGUUUUGGAGAGAUGCUCUGAUUUGAGAUAAAACUCAGUUUGGUUAACAAAAGAAAGUGGAAGGGGUGAGAAGGAAAAGCUGCAUCCAAACCUAGUGGAGCAGGUAACUCCCUCGAGGGGGUAGCGAGGAGGCUGUGGUCAGGGCACUGGCAGCACCUGCCUCGGCACAGAGGGCUGGGCACAUGUUAACGCCAAGCAGCUCAGCGUACAAAGACGUGGCCCCAGGGGACUGCAGCUGGCAGCUGCCUGCGCUGCGGUGAGCAGUGCUGGGGCAGGUGAGGGCACUUGUGCCAGGGCUCCGUGCCCCCUCUGUUAUCUCCUGCUCUUCCUGCUGCCCCCUGCUCUGUCCUCCUUUGACUCCACGGCGCAGAGUUCAGCUCCGCACUGUGAGCGUUGUCUGAGUGUGGCGUCUCAUCUCAACAUUUGGAAAAAAACACAACAACAACAGAGAAAAACAGACUGAAGAGAUGUGUUGAUUCAGAAGCUGCGCUCCUGCUAUGGAGCUUAACCGAGGAAGGGGGGGAAGAUUCCAGCUAACUAGUUGUACCGUGUUUCUAUGGCAGCCGGAGUUGGAAAAGCAAACAGGUUUUGGGGAAGGGCUGCUCCUCUCCUGGGAAGUUGUCUGCUAGGAAUAACUCCAGAAAACAGAGGUGGGUGAGAGACCAGCUGCAGCGAUGCUGCUGCUUCCUUGCCCCAAGGCCGCGGAGAGGAGGCGGGGUGGCACGGUGCUGCAGUGGCCCCUGAUGAAAUAUUGAAAACCAAGGGAAGCUGGCAGGCUGUGAGAGCACCUCGGCUUGGGCUGAUAAAGCCACUGAAGCCCUUGGCUCCCCAGCAGUGUGCUCCUGGCUCCCUGCACCCAGCAGGAGCUGCAGCCGCUCCACCAGCUCCGGCCGGCGCUGGCUCUGCAGAGGGACCGUCACAGCGGCUGGGGGUCAUGCCCAAGUGACACAGACAGCUCAACUGCCCGUGCUUAUUUCUAAAACUGGGAGAGACAAAGAGCAGCGUUGCUCUGGAAAGCUGCUUGAAUGAAGCAGGGGGAAGUGAAGGCGUUCCCACCGGCCCGCUGCAGUCUCUGUCGUGGUGCUCUUUGGGCUCUCUGCUCUGCUUACAGCCCCUUCGCUCGUUUGUCGUCCUCUUUAACAGCAGCACUCCCAGGCACUCACUGAUGAAGUUCUGUGACAGCCUAACCCCUCCUCACCAUUCAUGAAUGGAUGAAACAGUGCUAGGAAAAAAAAAAAAGAAUUUGGGGCACGUUGUUUUGUCAUUGGGUGCUGGGAAAUGUGUGCCUGCUUUGUAGCCUGCUUUGUAACCUACUCAGAAAUAAAGUAAGCCACGCUCAUGGAGGGAGAACGCUCCAGGUCUCCAGCUGAAGGAGUCUCUGAAGGCUCAGGCUCUCACCUGGACUCCUUUCCAGGGGAUGCAGCAGUGUGAGGACAAGCAGCUUGCUAGCUCUGCCUGUGGUCAGGGACUCUUUCUCUCCAUCUCCUCCUGUCAGACUGAAUGCCCAUUUGGCACGUGUGGAUGUUGCUCUGCCUGGUGUCCAGGGCAAGGGCAUGUUGCAAGGCUCUGCUGUAGGAGUCAGAAGGACAUUCAUACCUUUGUCCAUUUUUCUUGGGAACUGCUGCUAAAACGAGAUGAAGCUGAUAGAAGUACGUGUCCCUGAGCACACCGUCUUCAAGGCUUUCUCCGGGGAAUUGAAAUGCCGCUCCGGGAGGCAGCUAAUCCAGCAGCAUCUUGGCUGUUGUGUCAACCUCAUCUCCAGCGCCUGCUUGUUGCACCAGAUGCUUCUCCGCUUCUCUCCUUGCCUCUUCCCCAGCGUUUCCCUCGGAGCCUCUCCCCUUCCAAGGCCGCCCUCUCCCAGCCCCCAGCCCCUUCCUCGCCCUGCAGGCCAGGGCUUGUUCCCUGUAUCUCUGGGCCAUUGCCUCCUCCUCUCUCCCUGUUUUGGGCAGGGUCUCCCAGGGACAAGCCCUUGCAGUGCCAGAGGGAACCUCCCAAGCUUCCCACAAGCGAGCAUCUCCCUGGGCCCACAUCCUUUGGCAGACCCGUGGCCAGGGCUGGGGGUGGCUGUGAGGACAGGUCAUGGUUUUGAGACACAGUGCAGGAAAGUAAACCUGCUUUUUGUCUGCAAGGAAAACCCUCAUCAAUACCUGAUUUUAAGAACAAGCCUCCUGAAACUUAGGCUUUUCCAGCUUCCCUCACACUUCCUGUAGUUUGUAGUUUAAUUAUCAAAAUAUGCUGCACUUCUGCACUGAUUCCCUCUCCUGAAAGCUCCUUCUUUAGCAUCCUGCAGUUCUCUAUGACCUCAGAGGGUAAAGCUCUUAAGUUGCCCUUGAAGACAAAAAGAGAAAGUCUUGUCUGAGGUGAAGUCAGUAUCUAUCCAAUUUUCAGCUGCCGUCACAUCGAAAUGAGAAAUCUGAAGCAGAGCCAGGCACAAAUAGCUGAUAACAGACUUUCAGGUGCACCUCUUCACUUAUCACUUCUAGGGUCACCUCUGUUUCUAAAGACUUGUUUUCCUUAAAAAAAGAUUGCUUAGGACAUUUAACAGUGUGGUGUUGUGAUAACAAAACCCUGUGAGGCUUUAGUUUUAUGCCUGGGCUGCUGCAGAGAUGCAGAGUCUCCUAAUGCCAGUAGUCCUGAAUUCGUUUCUGAAAUUAUUUCAUGAAUUAAACCAGUGAGAGCAGAGAAGGCAGAGCUCUCCCUGCAGGAUGUUUCCUGCCCCGCCGGGCACUGCAGGAUGGUUGUGGCUGUGACAUGACAGUGGCAGGCUGUUGCAUGUCCCCUGGUGCGGGUCUCAUCCCCUUCCCCGUUGGGUUCUCCUCACCCUGUGGGAUAGAAUGGGGCUCUCUGAGGGCCAAGCUGAGCUGGGAGCAGAAAGAGAGUUAUGAAGUGACGGAGACACAACUUGUUUUGAAACAGGGUGCUUGGCACAUACGGAAAGAUGCACACAGA
This is a long non-coding RNA of Cygnus olor (mute swan), 3285 nucleotides long. RefSeq lists it as uncharacterized. The transcript is spliced from 3 exons. The record is from RefSeq and is a predicted model, not a curated record. Lineage: Eukaryota; Metazoa; Chordata; Aves; Anseriformes; Anatidae.